AUGGAUCCUCAUCCACUUGCUAAUCUCUUUACAAGAUCCAAUUAUGUUGAACCUAUUGCUAGUGAGUUGAGUGCACUAGAUUAUGUUUAUGAGGUUUUGCUUGAAAUUCGUGAAUCUGAAAAUUAUGAUGAAGAAAUUUAUGAAGAGAUUCACGAUAACUCCUUGAAUAAAAAGCAUGAUUUCAAUGAUUUUCCUAUAAAUUCUCUUGAUGUAAAUUGUUCUAAUAAUAUGCAAAACCCUAAGCUUGGGGAUGCUAGUUUUUCUAUGUCUACUACUUGUUUCAAUGAUCAUGAUUGGGGUGAUUCUUCUUACAACCUUGAAAAUUUAUUUAAGCCCCAUGAUGAAUAUGAGAUUAAUAAUAAUGUUUGCACUAAUAUUGAAAGUGGGUUUGGAAGAGUGUCAACUUUAGAUCCCACAUUUUUGGAGUAUGUUCAAUCUUAUGAUAUUUUUGAUAAAAGUGGGUUCGGAAAGGUCAUGACUCUAGCUAAUGUUAUUCCCACUAUCUUGGAAGAGUGUCAACUUUGCAUGCAUGUGGAUCGUGUUGAAAAUAUGUUAUGUGAUAGCUAUUUUGUUGAAUUUGCUUAUGAUCCUACAUGUAAUUAUUAUGAGAGAGGAAAAUAUGGUUGUAGAAAUUUUCAUGUUACUAAAUUACCUCUCGUCUUGUUGAGAUUGCUAUCGUCUCUUUCUUAUUCCUUGCAUAUGCUAGUUUUUGUUUGCCUUGCAAAUUUGUUUGCUUAUAAUAUGCCUAUGCAUAGGAAGUAUGUUAGACUUAGAUGUGUUUGUCACGUGUUUCAUGAUGCUCUCUUUACGCUUCAAUUCUUGUCUUUCUUGUGA
RNAcentral lists this ribosomal RNA (834 nucleotides) under Triticum aestivum (bread wheat). RNAcentral's name for it is "partial small subunit ribosomal RNA". The record is from RNAcentral. Lineage: Eukaryota; Viridiplantae; Streptophyta; Magnoliopsida; Poales; Poaceae.